AGAGUUUGAUCGUGGCUCAGAUUGAACGCUAGCGGGAUGCUUUACACAUGCAAGUCGAACGGCAGCGCGAGAGAGCUUGCUCUCUUGGCGGCGAGUGGCGGACGGGUGAGUAAUAUAUCGGAACGUGCCCAGUAGCGGGGGAUAACUACUCGAAAGAGUGGCUAAUACCGCAUACGCCCUACGGGGGAAAGGGGGGGAUCGCAAGACCUCUCACUAUUGGAGCGGCCGAUAUCGGAUUAGCUAGUUGGUGGGGUAAAGGCUCACCAAGGCAACGAUCCGUAGCUGGUUUGAGAGGACGACCAGCCACACUGGGACUGAGACACGGCCCAGACUCCUACGGGAGGCAGCAGUGGGGAAUUUUGGACAAUGGGGGAAACCCUGAUCCAGCCAUCCCGCGUGUAUGAUGAAGGCCUUCGGGUUGUAAAGUACUUUUGGCAGAGAAGAAAAGGUACCUCCUAAUACGAGGUACUGCUGACGGUAUCUGCAGAAUAAGCACCGGCUAACUACGUGCCAGCAGCCGCGGUAAUACGUAGGGUGCAAGCGUUAAUCGGAAUUACUGGGCGUAAAGCGUGUGUAGGCGGUUCGGAAAGAAAGAUGUGAAAUCCCAGGGCUCAACCUUGGAACUGCAUUUUUAACUGCCGAGCUAGAGUAUGUCANAGGGGGGUAGAAUUCCNCGUGUAGCAGUGAAAUGCGUANAUAUGUGGAGGAAUACCGAUGGCNAAGGCAGCCCCCUGGGAUAAUACUGAC
Molecule: ribosomal RNA, 747 nt
Filed under: Alcaligenes faecalis
Lineage: Bacteria; Pseudomonadati; Pseudomonadota; Betaproteobacteria; Burkholderiales; Alcaligenaceae
Description: bacterial SSU rRNA
Rfam family: Bacterial small subunit ribosomal RNA
Source: RNAcentral